GUAGUCUGCCAUACGCAGGAAGACCCGCUGAACUGAAGCAUCUCAUUAAGCGGAGGAAAAGAAACUAACUAGGAUUCCCUUAGUAAAGGCGAUCGAAAAGGGAACAGCCCAACGUCUUAAUCCCGCAAGGGAAAUGUAGUCGGUUCACCUAUUGCACUGGUCUAAGUCAGAUGGAAUGCUGCGCGAUUCAGAGUAAAAGCCUCGUAUGACCAACCGCAAGCUUACGAUGGACCGGGGAGAGUCGGAUACUUUGAGAGUAGUGUCUUAAGGGGGUGGUAUGUCCCAUCCAAGGCUAAAUAACGUGAGGAGACCGAUAGAUUACAAGUAGUGUGAACGAAAGAUGAAAAGAACUCUAAAACAGAGGGUGAAAAGUUCCUGAACUUGCUUAGGGUUAAGGCUAUUUAUAGUACCCGUCUUGAAACACGGAUUAGGGAGUUUAUCUGUAGUGCGAGUCUUUGCACGUUAACUGUAAAGGCGUAGAGAAAGCAACUGGCGUUUGCAUGGCUACUGAGCAUUACUGAUAGGACCCGAAAGGUGGUGAACUUUGCCUGCACAGGUUGAAGUCAGGGGAAACUCUGAUGGAGGACCGUACGGGUUAUUGAUGUGCAAAUCAUUUUUCUGAUGUAGGUAA
RNAcentral lists this non-coding RNA (631 nucleotides) under Trichomonas vaginalis G3. RNAcentral's name for it is "Eukaryotic large subunit ribosomal RNA". It matches the Rfam family "Eukaryotic large subunit ribosomal RNA", at positions 1 to 918 of the family's 3401-position model. Lineage: Eukaryota; Parabasalia; Trichomonadida; Trichomonadidae. The record is from Rfam by way of RNAcentral.